Molecule: ribosomal RNA, 382 nt
Filed under: uncultured eukaryote
Lineage: Eukaryota
Description: partial 18S ribosomal RNA
Rfam family: Eukaryotic small subunit ribosomal RNA
Source: RNAcentral
UGUAAGCGUAUACCAAAGUUGUUGCAGUUAAAACGCUCGUAGUCGGAAUUUGGCAGUUCCGGAAGUGUGCACGUCGUGUGCGCACUUUGCGGGGACUGCUUUUGUGGUCUUGCGUAGGAUGAGGCACUUUCAUUAGUGAACGUCCUCACGCAACCACUCUUUACUGUGAGAAAAUCAGAGUGCUCAAAGCAGGCAUUUGCCGUGAAUGUAUUAGCAUGGAAUAAUAGAAUAGGACUCGGUUCUAUUUUGUUGGUUUGUUGGGACUGAGUAAUGAUUAAGAGGGACAGUUGGGGGCAUUUGUAUUCCGGCGCUAGGGGUGAAAUUCUUAGAUUGCCGGAAGACAAACUGCUGCGAAAGCGUCUGCCAAGGAUGUUUUCAUUGA